Molecule: small nuclear RNA, 100 nt
Organism: Fukomys damarensis (Damara mole-rat)
Lineage: Eukaryota; Metazoa; Chordata; Mammalia; Rodentia; Bathyergidae
Source: Ensembl
CCUUUCCCAUAAAAAGGCAAAAGUGUAUUUGGAAUGGUCAAGAUUAGCAUAGCCCCUGCACAAGGAUGACAUGCAAAUUUGUGAAGUGUUCCCAUAUUUU